Long non-coding RNA from Halichondria panicea, 954 nucleotides. RefSeq lists it as uncharacterized. The record is from RefSeq and is a predicted model, not a curated record. NCBI's taxonomy places the organism in Eukaryota, Metazoa, Porifera, Demospongiae, Suberitida, Halichondriidae. The transcript has 2 exons.
GUAUCGACGAGUACUCUAACGUGAUCAAGCCAAUCAUCCAUACAUCAGCGUCCAUGGAGAUAUGCCCCACCCACUCUGUAAGUCUCCGUAUACUUGAGUGAGAGUAGCCGUUAUACUAGCAUACUUCUAUUAAACAACAUGAUAAUCAUCACAUGUGCCAUUAAUUGCUCUGGUACGUACUUUGUCCACUGUUUGACUGAAGCUCAGACUCUACUACUAAUCUAGACUUAACAAUUCCUCCAGUGUGAGGCUAUUGACUUAUUUUUAUGCCCCAAUCUUCAUGCAGGGGCGUAGCAAGCAACUUUAAAGUGGUCAGGCCAACUUGCAAUUAAAGGUCAGCUGCUUUUCUACUAUUGGAACUUUUAUACAGUGGUGAAUUUUUUACCUAAGAAAAAGGUCAUCCCUUUUCCUCACCAAAAUAGCAUGCGCAUUAUCACUUACAAUAUUUACGACCAUUGCCUACCCAGCUGCAAAAAGUGGUUAGGCCAAAACCUGACCAGCCUGACCGCUUGCUACAGCUUUGAUCUUAUGUGCAACGUUAUGCUAUAAUUAUGUGAAAACAUUAUUUCUUACUCGUCCAGGUUCAGGUUCGGAAAUGUUGUGUUGGAGAUCACAUCAGGCAGAUAGAGAAGGUGGAGCUGGUCCUCCAGGACCUCCUUCAGCUGCAAUACGAGGACCUGGCAAUCAUGAAGAUGUUUGGGAGGGCCAAAGUGAACGUUAGUCUGCUCAUCUUCCUCAUGAACAAAAAUCGACAGAGCGUUAAAUUGGAUUUGCCAUUAGCAAAUUGCAUGUAUUCAUUGACUAUUCACAGCAGUGCAUGAAUUAUUUAUAUCAUCCGCAUGUACUAUUGACACGUUAUUAACGACCUAAUGUUCCAACAUAAUAUACUAUAUAUUAUUAUAGUACGUACUUUGCUACUUUUCUCAAAUUGUCAUUUAUUAUAAUGUGAUAUAA